This 75-nucleotide transfer RNA is filed under the name Geitlerinema splendidum. Its description in RNAcentral is "tRNA-Thr". It matches the Rfam family "tRNA". Rfam says of the family: Transfer RNA (tRNA) molecules are approximately 80 nucleotides in length. Their secondary structure includes four short double-helical elements and three loops (D, anti-codon, and T loops). Further hydrogen bonds mediate the characteristic L-shaped molecular structure. tRNAs have two regions of fundamental functional importance: the anti-codon, which is responsible for specific mRNA codon recognition, and the 3' end, to which the tRNAs corresponding amino acid is attached (by aminoacyl-tRNA synthetases). tRNAs cope with the degeneracy of the genetic code in two manners: having more than one tRNA (with a specific anti-codon) for a particular amino acid; and 'wobble' base-pairing, i.e. permitting non-standard base-pairing at the 3rd anti-codon position. Lineage: Bacteria; Bacillati; Cyanobacteriota; Cyanophyceae; Geitlerinematales; Geitlerinemataceae. The record is from RNAcentral. RNAcentral also lists the same sequence under 2 other names.
GCCCGAUUAGCUCAGUGGUAGAGCAACCGCCUUGUAAGCGGUAGGUCGUCAGUUCAAAUCUGUCAUCGGGCUCCA